UGGGGAAUUUUGCACAAUGGGGGAAACCCUGAUGCAGCGACGCCGCGUGAUUUAGAAGGCCUUCGGGUUGUACAAAUCUUUUGUAUGGGAAGAAAAUGACAGUACCAUACGAAUAAGGACCGGCUAAUUACGUGCCAGCAGCCGCGGUAAUACGUAAGGUCCGAGCGUUGUCCGGAAUCAUUGGGCGUAAAGGGUACGUAGGCGGAUAAGCAAGUUAGAAGUGAAAUCCUAUAGCUCAACUAUAGUAAGCUUUUAAAACUGCUCAUCUUGAGGUAUGGAAGGGAAAGUGGAAUUCCUAGUGUAGCGGGGAAAUGCGCAGAUAUUAGGAGGAAUACCGGUGGCGAAGGCGACUUUCUGGCCAUAUACUGACGCUGCGGUACGAAAGAGUGGGUAGCAAACAGG
RNAcentral lists this ribosomal RNA (402 nucleotides) under Verrucomicrobiota bacterium. Its description in RNAcentral is "Verrucomicrobia bacterium partial 16S ribosomal RNA". It matches the Rfam family "Bacterial small subunit ribosomal RNA", at positions 355 to 776 of the family's 1533-position model. Lineage: Bacteria; Pseudomonadati; Verrucomicrobiota. The record is from RNAcentral.